GAAACGCGAUAGUUAAUGUGAAUUGCAGAAUUCAGUGAAUCAUCGAGUCUUUGAACGCACAUUGCGCCUUUUGGUAUUCCGAGAGGCACGCCUGUCUGAGCGUCAGCAAAACCCUUCGGUAGUAAAUUAUUACCGGCGCUGGCGGCGGGCGGUCCCCCAGGGGACCCCCCCGCUUAAACCUGACGCCGGGGCAAGCAGGUUUGGCCGCGAUAAUAGUAGUGAUAUUUUUGUCAAAGCCUCUCCAGCUAAACCCCCCCCCAUCAAAUCAUAAAGGCCCAAAGCCUUGACUUUUUGACCUCAGAUCAGGCGAGGAUACCCGCUGAACUUAA
RNAcentral lists this unclassified non-coding RNA (329 nucleotides) under uncultured Orbiliales. Its description in RNAcentral is "sequence contains ITS1". The stretch from base 1 to 105 matches the Rfam family "5.8S ribosomal RNA", at positions 50 to 154 of the family's 154-position model. Lineage: Eukaryota; Fungi; Ascomycota; Orbiliomycetes; Orbiliales. The record is from RNAcentral.